CGAGCCCUUUGCUCCCCAGGCUGCUCUACAAGCUGCGGUUCCUGGGCCAGACCAGCGUUGGGACGUAUGGUGGCAAAGAGGUGCUGGAGGGGGCCAUUCCUGCUGUGCUGGAGAGGAACUUGGCACCACGGGAGGUUUUAUUUGAUGUGAAGGAGGCAGAAGUCCUUGUGCAGGAAAAGGCUUCCUCCAAGGUGAGUGAGUGACAUCCAAGCUCUGGGAAUCUGGUGGCACGGGGAGCCCAGCUGGGGGCAGAAUAAACCAGGAACGGGGCUGGCAGGGCCUGACCAGAUCCCCAACAGCCCC
Zonotrichia albicollis (white-throated sparrow) is the source of this 303-nucleotide non-coding RNA. NCBI's taxonomy places the organism in Eukaryota, Metazoa, Chordata, Aves, Passeriformes, Passerellidae. The record is from RefSeq and is a predicted model, not a curated record.